RNAcentral lists this long non-coding RNA (999 nucleotides) under Homo sapiens (human). RNAcentral describes it as "HSALNT0293471". Lineage: Eukaryota; Metazoa; Chordata; Mammalia; Primates; Hominidae. The record is from RNAcentral.
UCGGGCUUCGAGCGUCCCCGGGCGCUACAGGUGGGUGAAGUUAAGUGGCUGCUGGAGCGUCUCGGGGGACAGCCAGUGUCUGCGGCGCCGAGAGGGCCGUUCGUGGACUCAAAUGGGUAUCACCCCUACCGUUUAUAGUCCUCCCAAUAGUCUGCAUCUCGUUUUGUCGUGGCUGGUCGUGUACUCCUUGUGGAGUCUGAAGACAGGGUCUCUGUCACCCAGGCUAGAGUGCAGUGACUUGAUCAAGCUCACAGCAGCCUCCAUCUCCUGGGGUCCAGCAAUCCUCGCACCUCAGCCUCCUGAGUAGCUAGGACUACAGAUAAUCAAGCUAAGCACACAGGAUGACUGCCCAAGAAGCAAGUGACCGCAAUGGUGAAGCUGGGCCUCCACCCUGCCGUCUGGCUGACUUCAAGGCCUGCACAGCCUCUUAAGCCGCAUCCUGCUUGCUGCCUCCAAGCUUUCCUGACUGCAGCCUUUUCUCCAGUCACUUUUGAUAGAGGAGUUAAGAAGAAAUUACUUAGGCAGAUAGUGAGGGUAUGGAAGUCCUCGGUAAGGUUUUCCUUUUAAUGAAAAGCAGCCCCAAAUCAUUUUCCUUUCUAACAAACAGCAGCCUGUAAAAUCAAGCUGCAGACAUAGAUGCCGGCAGUUGUGCCAAUCAUGUUCAGAAUGGUGGCUCCCUUCUCCCUUCUCUGCCAGCCAUAUGUACAGUAAGGAGCAGACAACAUGGCUCGGGCCAAGGGUAAAGUUGAUUUGCAUAAUAAGAUUAGGGUGGGGCCCACCAGCCUUCCCCUGCACUAUGUAAACAUCACGCCUGACUGAACCAAUCUGUGAGCCCUAUGUAAAUCAGACAAUGCCUUCUCAAGCCUGACUAUAAAAUCCUGUGAGUCCACUGCCAGCCAGUCUUUCCUCUGGGAAGCCCCUCUCUCUCCCUAGAGAGAGCUGGUUUCCUUUCUCCUUUCUUUUUCUUUUGCAUAUUAAACUUCCACUCCUAAACUCCUC